UUUCAGUUAAAUUUAAGGGUAUUUUCAUCAAUUAAUUGUAACAAAGAAUAAUUACAUAAAAAAAAAGAAUUAAAAAUACAAAAAAAAUAAAAUAAAGCUAACCUCCAUAUCUCUCUCUCUUCUCUCUACUCCAUCGUCUUUAUUCCACCAGAUAUCAUAUUAGAUUGCAAUGGUCCAUUGUUUUUGUUGCCUUCCUGUAUUUC
This 203-nucleotide long non-coding RNA is filed under the name Prunus persica (peach). RNAcentral describes it as "long non-coding RNA (PPER_LNC003512)". The record is from RNAcentral. Lineage: Eukaryota; Viridiplantae; Streptophyta; Magnoliopsida; Rosales; Rosaceae.